Molecule: ribosomal RNA, 106 nt
Filed under: Herpetosiphon geysericola
Lineage: Bacteria; Bacillati; Chloroflexota; Chloroflexia; Herpetosiphonales; Herpetosiphonaceae
Also listed under: 1 other name
Description: Bacterial small subunit ribosomal RNA
Rfam family: Bacterial small subunit ribosomal RNA
Source: Rfam by way of RNAcentral
UUGUCGGCGAGUUUGAUCCUGGCUCAGGACGAACGCUGGCGGCGUGCCUAAUGCAUGCAAGUCGAACGCAUUCUUCGGAAUGAGUGGCGCACGGCUGAGGAACACG